AAAACGUAUAGCUUCUCUUUUAAUUUAUAUAUUGAACCUCUUGAAAAAUUAUUUUGAUAAAAAUAUGAUUGAAUACAGUCGUGCUUGCCCCUUUUUAGGGUGAUGUCAGUUUAACAUGCUUGUUUUUUCUAGUAGCCAGUUUUCCGGCUUUUACAUCCGCGAGUCUAUUACUAUGAGUGUUUAUAAGUUUUCCUUCCCAUAAAAAUUAUAGCAGUAUAGAGACCUUGUGCAGCAUAAAACUGUAAUAGUUUAUGCUGCUUUGUUUAUUUUUAAUCACAAUUUUCAUUUUCUGCUGCAUGCGAAUUUCACAUUUUUUACUGUCUUUCUCUUUGAUGCAAUAGAAUUUUUGUAUAAUUGCUCUUUUUUUUAAUUUUAAGCAAUUUGAUCUGUUGUCUUGCUCCGGGUCAGCGUAAGAUGCUUCGACUAGUACAAAGUAGAUAAUUGGGAGUAUCGUGUUAGUUAUACCGGCUGUGUUAUAAAUGAAUUCAGACUGGUUAGUGGUCCCAAUACUGGCGGAUCACCAUUUGAAAACACUAGAUCCUGAAUGCUACCGUAGUCACGUUGGAAAAGGAUACUGACAGCUUUCAAAAACAACAAAUUUUUUCAACCAAUCAGUGAUGC
Long non-coding RNA from Topomyia yanbarensis, 621 nucleotides. RefSeq lists it as uncharacterized. The transcript is spliced from 3 exons. The record is from RefSeq and is a predicted model, not a curated record. Lineage: Eukaryota; Metazoa; Arthropoda; Insecta; Diptera; Culicidae.